GGGAUUAGAUACCCCACUAUGCUCAGCCAUAAACUUUGAUAGACUUCUACACCCACUAUCCGCCAGGGGACUACGAGCGCUAGCUUAAAACCCAAAGGACUUGGCGGUGCUUUAGACCCACCUAGAGGAGCCUGUUCUAGAACCGAUAACCCCCGUUAAACCUCACCCUCCCUUGUUCUUUCCGCCUAUAUACCGCCGUCGUCAGCUUACCCUUUGAGGGAUCAAUAGUAAGCAAAGUCAGUAUAACUCAAAACGUCAGGUCGAGGUGUAGCAUAUGAGAGGGGAAGAAAUGGGCUACAUUUCCUAUCAUAGGACAUACGGAUAAUGUAAUGAAACGUACAUUAGAAGGAGGAUUUAGCAGUAAGCAAAAAAUAGAGUGUUUUGCUGAAGCUGGCUCUGAAGCGCGCACACACCGCCCGUCACCCUCAA
This 429-nucleotide ribosomal RNA is filed under the name Hyporhamphus unifasciatus (common halfbeak). RNAcentral's name for it is "partial 12S ribosomal RNA". It matches the Rfam family "Bacterial small subunit ribosomal RNA", at positions 774 to 1406 of the family's 1533-position model. The record is from RNAcentral. Lineage: Eukaryota; Metazoa; Chordata; Actinopteri; Beloniformes; Hemiramphidae.